AUCCCAGGAGCUUGCUCCUGGGUGAGAGUGGCGAACGGGUGAGUAAUGCGUGACCGACCUGCCCCAUACACCGGAAUAGCUCCUGGAAACGGGUGGUAAUGCCGGAUGCUCCGACAUGACGCAUGUCGUGUCGGGAAAGAUUCAUCGGUAUGGGAUGGGGUCGCGUCCUAUCAGCUUGAUGGCGGGGUAACGGCCCACCAUGGCUUCGACGGGUAGCCGGCCUGAGAGGGCGACCGGCCACAUUGGGACUGAGAUACGGCCCAGACUCC
Molecule: ribosomal RNA, 269 nt
Filed under: uncultured Bifidobacterium sp.
Lineage: Bacteria; Bacillati; Actinomycetota; Actinomycetes; Bifidobacteriales; Bifidobacteriaceae
Description: partial 16S ribosomal RNA
Rfam family: Bacterial small subunit ribosomal RNA
Source: RNAcentral